AUGGAGGGAUUUUCCUUCCAGCCCCCCGCCGUCCGCUACCCCGCCUCGGUUAUCAUUGACAAGGAGGCCCACUUCGACGACGACAAGGGAAAGAAUGCCACUACCGCUGAAGCCAUGACGAGCACCGGCCACACCGUCGGGGUCACCUUCCACCUCGCCAAUCCUCCGGCCGUCUCCCACUUCUGCGUCCAUGGCCCUAGACUCAAGCGCGAGGAUUUCGAAGGUGUGCCCGAGGUCGUCUCCGCUCAGAAAGACCUCGUCCUCCUCCGCCUGGCCCUCACCUUCGGCCCCAGAAUUCGAAGCGGCACCGCUGGAUCGCCUGAUCGUGUGCUCCAUGAGUACUUCGUCUACGAGGCCCGCCGCGGCAAGGCUGAAGAUGGGGAAUCCCUCAUCGCCGCUUUCCUCCGGACAUGUAGCGCCUUCGAAGAGGACCGCCGCGUCUUCUCGUCCAAGACGGGGAAGUGGAGCAGCUGUGAACGUUUGGAACUCAAGCGACCUCCGGAGAUCAACUAUCACGACAUGCCCAGGCCAACCGACAAAGUGAUCGUGCUCGGAGGAGGCGAGGUGGGUUUGGUCGAUCUCCGGCGGGGCAUCAAAAUCUGCAACGUGCUGGACGCGGACCCAGUCUUCCAUUUCAUACCGCUACCCAAGGCUGAAUUCCUCCAUGACAAUGACAAUUGGGACGAGUCGCAGCUGAUCCGGGAUGUCGUCGUCUGCGAUGGCUUCAUCCAGCUUGUCGAGAUAGAACGCCGUUUCAGGCAGGUGCUUGGCGUGAACAAUAAAAAGAAGAGCUGCAAGAAGAUGACCAGCGAUUUUGACAAGAACACAGAUAUUAUCUAUGACUCGGAGAUCCUCUACCGCAAUUACGCCCGUCCGGAACUCAUUCCUGUCCCUGAUGGCUGGAAGAUCCGGACAUGUUACAGGCACAAAUAUUGGGACUAUUGGCUUAAGGGGCACGUUGUCGAUGUUGAUGGCUCGUUUGAUUAUGUACCCGAGCUGUUGGAUGGUGGUGCCGGAUGA
RNAcentral lists this ribosomal RNA (1020 nucleotides) under Triticum aestivum (bread wheat). Its description in RNAcentral is "partial small subunit ribosomal RNA". Lineage: Eukaryota; Viridiplantae; Streptophyta; Magnoliopsida; Poales; Poaceae. The record is from RNAcentral.